RNAcentral lists this long non-coding RNA (6044 nucleotides) under Homo sapiens (human). RNAcentral's name for it is "non-protein coding LINC01969:13". Lineage: Eukaryota; Metazoa; Chordata; Mammalia; Primates; Hominidae. The record is from RNAcentral.
AUACUCAGUGGUGGCCAUAGAGAGUUGGUGACUGCCUUUGAGAGGAGAAUGGUUGUGAUCCUUUUGCCGAGAACUCACCCAGAGGACUUAUACCUUGGUGACAGCAGAAGGACUCAAGUUAGAAGGCCAGGGCCCUUAAAGGGAGGGGACGAUUCGAGGAAAGUAUAGGUGGGUUGGGAGGAAUUCAUGGAUAUGGAGAUGAACAAACAAAUGGGGCCGGGAGCAGGUAAAGAGGUAGACCAGAUAACACCUCCAGAGUUGCGGUUUGACCUCUGCUGGAUCUCGGAGCUUUAGAGUCUCUAGGUGGAAAUAUCACAGAAUAAGAGACAUUCUGCUAGAAGGAAAUUUCGAGUUUAUUCCUUUCUUCCCUCCUUUUACAGAUUAGAAAACUGAGGCCCAGAGAAGGAAAGUAGCUGCCAGAGGUCACACAGCUAGGAUUGAGGGAUCAGAGACUGCUGCAGCCCAGAUGCCUUCGCAGCCAUGGCCUGGCCCAUCCAACCCGCUGACCUCAUUCCCAGCUCCCCUCUCUUGCAAGCUCCCCCCUUGCCUGCCACGUAGACUGGAGGCUUAGCUGCAUCUUCGCUGGAGGGAGGAAGAGCAGAACACAGAGGCCCUGAGCCCAGAGCUCUGCUGGGUCAGACUGGCCUGGGGAGAGCAGCUGUGUUCCUCCAGCGCCCCCCAAGACCAGGCUGGGCCUCAGUUUGCCCUCCUCAAACCUCCUCAAACCUGAGGCCCAGAAGGUGGAGGGGACAGAGGUCAUGGGAGAAGCAUGACAAUGAAGUGGGUUGGAGUGGGCGAGAAUCACGUGGGGGCUCUGAGGUCAUUGUAGCCAUCCCCCUGCCUCCUCAGGGCAGGAGGGUGCUAGGAUCAGACCCAGAAAGGGACAGGGGCAGGACAUUCCUCCUCUUUUCAAGCAUUCACAAGAAGCAGAGUUCCAUGGUGGUCUAGGAGGGGGUCCUUUGUAAGAUCUAGUCUUCCUCCUUCUGCUGUGUGAGGACCACAGUAUGUGGCUAGGACGAGGUGGGCGGUACGCUGUCUUCCGUCUCUCAGCUGCUCUCAGGGACCUUCGCUUCAAUCCUGUCUCCAGGCUCUGCCUCUGACCCCUGCCUCCCCCUCGCUUUGCUUCCCUGCCCCCCAGGGUCCUGGGUCUCCAGCUGCCCCAGUUGAACAGGGGGCUGUCCCCUGCGGCUCUCAAGGCGUUCCGGGGCUGUGAGUCAUCGGGAAUGUCUGUUCUGACUGCGGCUUCCCUCUCCUGACGUGGACCCUCUUUCUCCUCCUCCCCCACACUCAGGGAGAGGGUGCCCCUCCCAGGCAGGGGGCUCUGAAGUGGGGGAGGAAGCCACAGGCAGGCCUGGGAUGAGGUCUUGCUCCCCGAUUGCCAUCGGAAGGAGGCUUCGAAGACUUGCACGCCCCUCACCCAGAUUCUACCUUCCCAAGGCAGAUAGAAUUCCCUGACUUUCUCCCAUUUCCCAGGUGGGGACACUGAGGAGAGGCGGGGAGGGGAGGGCCUGAACUUGGGUGGGCCCAGGUUCACCCACUCCCUUUUAGGGCUCAGCUUUGUCAGACUGGGAAUCUGCCCAAGUGUCCUUCUGAAGGGCCCUCCCCGCAUUCGAGGCUGGAUCUGGCAGAAAAGCUGGAGAGGCUCUGCUGCCCGCUCCAGGGAUGACACGUCUCUGCUGGGUGGGGAGUCCACGUCCGCAGAAAAGGGGGAGGCCACGUGUCUGGACCCUUCCCGCAGAGCCCCUGUGCCCUGCAAGGCUGCCUGCCACCCCCCUCCUUCUCUCCCUCCUCUCCCCAGCAGCCCUGGCCUGCCCCCUCCCUCUGAUCUCAAGAAAUAGCUGGGGGGUCGGGGGAGGGGACACUGAAGGGAAGACCAAGCUAGGAAAAGCUCCUCUCCACCCCCUCCCAGCAUGUCUGGGCAUUUCACUCCCCACCAAUGAGCCUCAGUUUCCUCAACUGGAAAAUAAGGGGGAUGAACAGAAAAAGUCUCUACCCAUGGGUGAGUCUAUGAUCCUGUCUCUGCACAGUCAGAUAGACUCAGGCACUCACACCCACUCAAACCCACCUGUGCUCUCAGGCACGUUCAUUCAUUCACACAUUCACCGAUGCACACUUACACACACAUCUACACGCACAUGUGGCCCUCUGCCUAUUUUGGGUACAGCAGAUCCCCACAAUUUCUGUUUCCCUCUUUCUGACAGCCCACCAUUUCUUCUCUCAUUCCAAUCAUACCUCCCCCAGCCCCCACCCCACCCCCUUUAGCCACCCUCUUUACAUUUCUCUACUCCUGGUUCUCCUCCUCUUGAGGUCACUGGCAGGGCAGUGAGAUUUGAACUUCAGAGUAUCAGACCUCUGACCUUGCCAAAGACCACUCUGACUCUGCCCUAAGGCUCUUUCUGAGUUUUGGGUGGGAGGGAGUCUGAGUGAGGAGAGAGAAUAGAGCUGAGAAAGGCUGGUUCUUUCCUACCCAGCUGGGGACCUGCAAAAGGGUGCCCUUCACUUGUCUUUCCUGAACAUUAUGAACAUUCGCUUUCCAACAAAGUCUGUCCCACUGACAUCCGGAGGCCUCCUCUGAAGUGCGAUCAUUUUAGCAGCUUGUCCUGGCUGUUGCCCCAGGUUGCACCCUUCUAGGAACUUCCGCCUGAGGGAGACUGGUCAGAGCUCAGGAGGGACUGUUCCAGGGGAUGAGAUAUCUGCUGGCCAGGAAAGGCAUGGGAACUGGGCAGCGGAGCACACCCUCCGGACCUGGCCCAACUUCAGAAUAACAACAAAUGAUUGUGCCAGGCUCUGCCGCUUCCAUCUGUGUGCAUGCAUGGAAAGGAUCACGGGAUGACGUGGCUGGAAACAGACCACAGGCACCACCAGUAGUUGGAAAGAUCAGAACAGAGCUGCCUCCCUCCCUUUUGCUGGAGAACUAUUGUGAGCUGACCACCACACACACGACAUCUCCUUUAAUCCUCACAACAGCUCUGGGACGUCAGCCUUAAUAUCUCUAUUUUAUAGCUGUAGAGUCAGAAGGGCCGAGGCGUUGUGCAAGAUCCCCUUUCUCAAGCUCAGAAAGAACCCAGGUGUCCUGACAGCCAGAUCAGGCUUCUCUCAUUGAUCCACACGUCCCCUAUUUCCAAAUCUACAUGGCUUCUAGACACACACAGCCACAUACAACAGACCACGCAGAAUGUUGGAAAGAAUUACAGCUCUUGGCCGGGCGCGGUGGCUCACGCCUGUAAUCCCUGCACUUUGGGAGGUCGAGGUGGGUGGAUCACCUGAGGUCAGGAGUUCAAGACCAGCCUGACCAACAUGAUGAAACCCCGUCUCUACUAAAAAUACAAAAAAAUUAGCUGGGCGUGAUGGCGGAUACCUGUAAUCCCAGCUACCCAGGAGGCUGCGGCAGAAGAAUCGCUUGAAACCAGGAGGCAGAGGUUGCAGUGAGCUGAGAUCGUACCACUGCACUCCAAUCUGGGCAACAACAGCAAAACUCCAUCUAAAAAAAAAAAAAAAUUACAGCUCUCGGUAGUGUUUGAAGAAGCACUUUGCACCUCCUCAUUGACAAUGCCCCAGGAAGGGCUUAUGCUCAUUCUGUUGUGAGGGGAAGCCCCUUGCUGGGGCUUCCCCCCUGGCUGGGAAGUGGUAAAGCUGUGAAUAGAUCCCAUGUCUGCCUGGCCUGGCCACAAAGCUAGUGCUCCUCCCACUCUCCAAUACCACCUGCCACCCUCACUGUCACCAGCCCAGAAGCACCCCCUGCACACACCAUAUCCCCAGUGAGCACACAUGCAUGUCACAGACAGGAAAAUCACACUCAUGUAGUACCUGCACGACACAGGCUAAGGGCUUUUUGGUGUUUCCUGUGUGCCAGGCCCUGUUGUAAGUUCCGUGUAGGCAUGAGCUAGAUGCAAGGCCGCAACAAUCCUAGGAUGUAGGUUCCUUUCAAUAUUCUUAUCCUCAUUUUACAAAUGAGGAAACUGAGGCUCAGAGAGGUUAAGUAAUUUGCCCAAGGUCACACAGCUAGGAAGUUGCAGAGCUGAGAUUUGAACGCAGGCUUUAACCACUGUGCUAUGGCCCAUUCUCUAAUAUUGAUUGCAUGCUACUCAUUCAGUCAGUCAUCAACUAUUACUGACUGCUGUGUUGUGCCCAACUCUGCACAGGCCCCCGGGACGGCUCUUCCCUGCCCCCUCCUCCUGACCCAGCCUGGUGUGUACCACAUGGUAGAUGGGGGCUGUACCUGCUCUCACUCUCCUUCUUUUCCAGAGUUCCUCCUCCCCCACAAGCUGGCACAUGUGGAUAUUGGCUCUGUUUUGCCUUUGACCCCUAGUGAAAGAAAAUACUGAGACGGAGUCUCGCUCUGUCGCCCAGGUUGGAGUGAAGCGGCUAGAUCUCAGCUCACUGCAACCUCUGCCUCCCAGGUUUAAGCAAUUCUCCUGUCUCAGCCUCCAGAGUAGCUGGGACUACAGGCGCAUGCCACCAUGCCCUACUAAUUUUUUGUAUUUUUAGGAGAGACAGGCCUUCACCAUGUUGGUCAAGCUGGUCUCGAACUCCUGACCUCAGGUGACCCACCGGCUUCAGCCUCCCAAAGUGCUGGGAUUACAGGCAUGAGCCACCGCGCCCAGCCUCAUAUCUAUCUUUAUCACUCCAUUUCAGAUCUUCUUCCAUAUAUGGCUCUGUGUGUCUCCUGUCCUUCCCUGUCUCCUCACUGCUUUUCAGCUGGUAGACCCCUGUGGGGACAACAGAUCAGAGCUUGGUCACCAAUAUGGACAUCUAGGUCUGAGCAGGGCCCACUCCCCGGGGGCGCAUCAGCUCCAUCCCGGCACCCUUUACACUGGCCUUCUCUUCACAAAGGACCACAGGUCAUCCUCAAGCCUUCCUCCCAGGCUAUCCUUGUCCCUGAAUACUAAUGUCUAAAGGUCAGCCCAGCUACCAGCAGUGUGCAUGUGAUGUGUCCCAUCUCCCCUUCGGAUUGGAGGAAGAAGCUGUGUCCCUCCCAUCAGACAGACGGUCUCCUUAAAGGUAGGCAUUGCGUCCACUCGUUCAGACAGAGAGCUCUCUGAAGUCAGGGAGUGUGUCUCCCAUACCAGAUUGGGGUUCUUUGAGGGUAUAACGUAGGUUUUCCCAUCAGACUAGGAGCAGGCCUGUGUCACCUCCUUCCUCUAGAUUCUCCUGGUCUCCAGCUUGGGCUCUGCUGGAAAGAAGAGGAAGUAUUUAGCAAGGGUGAAGGUAUGAUGCCCUCCCCACCAUCCAACCAGAGAUAAGAAAAGACCAGAAUAUGAAUAUCCAGCAUUCCACAAAGAAUCCUACAGGCAGGGAUAUUGCCCAAUCACCAGUGCCUCGCAUCCCAGUUCUAUCCAAGAUCCAAGCUUGAUAUCCUCCUGAAAGACUUCCUGAAUCAGGUCACCAACAUGGACAUCUGAACUUCCAGAAUCAGGUCACCGUCUUUCUUCUCAUCUCUGGAUGUAUUUGGAGCUCAUUUGUCUGACGGUUUUUGAAUGCUAUCUUUUAAAAAUAAACUUUUACAAUUUGGGUUUAAUAAUUCUAGAUUUAUAGAAAAGUUGAAAAGAAAGUACAGAAAGUUCCCAUAUAUCCCUUAUCCAGUUCUCUUAAUGUUAACCUCCUACAUCAUCAUGGAACAUUUGCCAAAAUGAAGAUGUCAACACUGGUGCUUUGCUGUGAACUAAACUCCAGACUUUAUUCGGAUUUCAUGAAUUUUUCUCCUAAGGUCCCUUUUCCGUUCCGGCAUUCCACCCAGGAUAUCACAUUGCAUUUGGUGUUUGUGUCUCCUUGGUCUCCUCUGGUUCUUGAGAGUUUCUCAGUCUCUCCUUGUUUUUCGUGACUGAAGUUUCAAGGAGUACUGGUCAGGUAUUCCAUAGAAUGUCCUACUGUUAGCUUUCAGCAGUAAAAGCCUUUCCACAAACAAAACCUUCUGCAGAGUCCUAAUCUGUGAACAGACAAGAAUGGAGUUGCCAUGGUCACAGCAGUGAUGAGAAAUGAUCCCCUGAAUAUGAAUCUCCAUGAAACCCCCCGAGAAUUAUAAGAAACCCCCAGGAUACCAUGGA